RNAcentral lists this ribosomal RNA (253 nucleotides) under uncultured bacterium. RNAcentral's name for it is "partial 16S ribosomal RNA". It matches the Rfam family "Bacterial small subunit ribosomal RNA", at positions 524 to 776 of the family's 1533-position model. The record is from RNAcentral.
CACGGGGGGAGCGAACGUUGUUCGGAAUCACUGGGCGUAAAGGGCGUGUAGGCGGUUCGGUAAGUGGAAUGUGAAAUCCCCCGGCUUACCCGGGGAACUGCAUCCCAUACUGCUGGACUUGAGUGCGGGAGAGGAUGGAGGAAUUCCUGGUGUAGCGGUGAAAUGCGUAGAUAUCAGGAGGAACACCUGUGGCGAAGGCGGCUCACUGGACCGGCAUUGACGCUGAUGUGCGAAAGCGUGGGGAGCAAACAGG